UGAGGAUAAAAAAUGGAUACUAAAAUGAUAUUAAGGCAGCAAGUAUGAAGAAUAACAAAAAUAAUGAAAAAUAAAGAAAAGGUAAGCAGAAAAUCAUAGAUUAAAAGCCAGGAGGGAUUUUAGAGAUCAUUAAGUCCAUUGUUUAGUUGAGGAAGCUGAGACCCAGAUAGAUUGUGACUCAUACAAUACUUGGCACAUAGUAGGUACUUUCCAAAUGCUUUCUAUACAAUUAGUUAAGUUCUUGAGUAGUUUCUAGACCCAGAACUUUCUGUGUUGAAGUCUAACACUCUGUACACUACAUGCUGACUUCUUAUAGAAUCAAGAGAAGAGCAUACAUGCUAACCUUGACCACAUAAGAAGAAAUGGAAAUGAGAAUGAAUGGGCAAAGAUUGGCAGUUAAAGGGGGAACCAGGAACAAAGAAAAAAAGGAAGAAAAUGGUUAUGAAGCACCUACUAUGUGCCAGGUACUGGGCAACAUAAUAUUAUCUCUUUGAAUCUUCACUACAACCUUGAAAGGUAGGUUCUAUUAUUAUCUUCAUUUGACAACUGAGGAACCUAAGGCAAACAGAAGUUCAAGUGACUAGCCUAGGGUCACACAGCUAUUAGGUGACUGAUGUCAAAUUUGCUCUCUGCUC
This 635-nucleotide long non-coding RNA is filed under the name Monodelphis domestica (gray short-tailed opossum). RNAcentral's name for it is "lncRNA (ENSMODG00000046832.1)". The record is from RNAcentral. Lineage: Eukaryota; Metazoa; Chordata; Mammalia; Didelphimorphia; Didelphidae.